This 510-nucleotide ribosomal RNA is filed under the name uncultured bacterium. Its description in RNAcentral is "bacterial SSU rRNA". It matches the Rfam family "Bacterial small subunit ribosomal RNA", at positions 28 to 529 of the family's 1533-position model. The record is from RNAcentral.
GACGAACGCUGGCGGCGUGGAUUAGGCAUGCAAGUCGAACGGUAUCAUCCUUUCGGGGGUGAGAGAGUGGCGAACUGGUGAGUAACACGUAGGUUAUCUACCCUCAAGACGGGGACAACCCAGGGAAACUUGGGCUAAUACCGGAUGUGAGCAACUUUUAGUUGUUUGAAAGGUGGCGUAAGCUGUCGCUUGGGGAUGAGCCUGCGUCCUAUUAGUUAGUUGGUGAGGUAACGGCUCACCUAGGCAAUGAUAGGUAGGCGGCCUUAACGGGUGGUCGCCCACACUGGGAUUGAGAUACGGCCCAGACUCCUACGGGAGGCAGCAGUCGAGAAUAGUCUACAAUGGUCGGAAGACUGAUAGUGCGACGCCGCGUGAACGAUGAAUCCCUUCGGGGUGUAAAGUUCUUUUAUAUGUGAGCAGUGCUUCUUAUAUUAACAGUAUGGGGAGAGAGAUAUUAGCAUAUGAAUAAGCAACGGCUAACUCCGUGCCAGCAGCCGCGGUAAACUCGGU